GACAGAGGGUGCAAACGUUGCUCGGAAUCAUUGGGCGUAAAGCGCACGUAGGCGGUUCGUUAUGUCGGAUGUGAAAGCCCUUGGCUUAACCGAGGAAGUGCAUCCGAAACUGGCGAGCUAGAGUACUAAAGAGGAUCGCGGAAUUCCCGGUGUAGAGGUGAAAUUCGUAGAUAUCGGGAGGAACACCGGUGGCGAAGGCGGCGAUCUGGGUAGAUACUGACGCUGAGGUGCGAAAGCGUGGGGAGCAAACAGG
RNAcentral lists this ribosomal RNA (253 nucleotides) under uncultured bacterium. Its description in RNAcentral is "partial 16S ribosomal RNA". It matches the Rfam family "Bacterial small subunit ribosomal RNA", at positions 524 to 776 of the family's 1533-position model. The record is from RNAcentral.